This 425-nucleotide ribosomal RNA is filed under the name uncultured bacterium. RNAcentral's name for it is "partial 16S ribosomal RNA". It matches the Rfam family "Bacterial small subunit ribosomal RNA", at positions 354 to 796 of the family's 1533-position model. The record is from RNAcentral.
GUGGGGAAUCUUGCGCAAUGGGCGAAAGCCUGACGCAGCCAUGCCGCGUGAAUGAUGAAGGUCUUAGGAUUGUAAAAUUCUUUCACCGGGGACGAUAAUGACGGUACCCGGAGAAGAAGCCCCGGCUAACUUCGUGCCAGCAGCCGCGGUAAUACGAAGGGGGCUAGCGUUGCUCGGAAUUACUGGGCGUAAAGGGAGCGUAGGCGGAUAGUUCAGUCAGAGGUGAAAGCCCAGGGCUCAACCUUGGAAUUGCCUUUGAUACUGGCUGUCUUGAGUAUGGGAGAGGUUAGCGGAACUCCGAGUGUAGCGGUGAAAUUCGUAGAUAUUCGGAAGAACACCAGUGGCGAAGGCGGCUAACUGGCCCAUUACUGACGCUGAGGCUCGAAAGCGUGGGGAGCAAACAGGAUUAGAAACCCUGGUAGUCC